This 271-nucleotide ribosomal RNA is filed under the name uncultured bacterium. Its description in RNAcentral is "partial 16S ribosomal RNA". It matches the Rfam family "Bacterial small subunit ribosomal RNA", at positions 524 to 794 of the family's 1533-position model. The record is from RNAcentral.
UACGUAGGGUGCGAGCGUUAAUCGGAAUUACUGGGCGUAAAGCGUGCGCAGGCGGUUAUAUAAGACAGAUGUGAAAUCCCCGGGCUCAACCUGGGAACUGCAUUAGUGACUGUAUAGCUAGAGUACGGCAGAGGGGGGUAGAAUUCCACGUGUAGCAGUGAAAUGCGUAGAGAUGUGGAGGAAUACCGAUGGCGAAGGCAGCCCCCUGGGUUAGUACUGACGCUCAUGCACGAAAGCGUGGGGAGCAAACAGGAUUAGAAACCCUUGUAGU